AGAGUUUGAUCCUGGCUUAGGAUGAACGCUAGCUACAGGCUUAACACAUGCAAGUCAAGGGGCAGCAUUAUCGAAGCUUGCUUGAUAGAUGGCGACCGGCGCACGGGUGAGUAACGCGUAUCCAACCUUCCCUAUAGUAGAGAAUAGCCCGGCGAAAGUCGGAUUAAUGCUCUAUGUUGUAUUUAGAAGACAUCUGAAGAAUACCAAAGGUUUACCGCUAUAGGAUGGGGAUGCGUCUGAUUAGGUAGUAGGCGGGGUAACGGCCCACCUAGCCGACGAUCAGUAGGGGUUCUGAGAGGAAGGUCCCCCACAUUGGAACUGAGACACGGUCCAAACUCCUACGGGAGGCAGCAGUGAGGAAUAUUGGUCAAUGGACGAAAGUCUGAACCAGCCAAGUAGCGUGCAGGAUGACGGCCCUAUGGGUUGUAAACUGCUUUUAUAUAGGGAUAAAGUCGGGGACGUGUCCCCGUUUGUAGGUACUAUAUGAAUAAGGACCGGCUAAUUCCGUGCCAGCAGCUGC
Molecule: ribosomal RNA, 520 nt
Filed under: uncultured bacterium
Lineage: Bacteria
Description: bacterial SSU rRNA
Rfam family: Bacterial small subunit ribosomal RNA
Source: RNAcentral